This 305-nucleotide unclassified non-coding RNA is filed under the name Magnaporthaceae sp. RNAcentral describes it as "partial contains 5.8S ribosomal RNA, internal transcribed spacer 2, and large subunit ribosomal RNA". The stretch from base 1 to 71 matches the Rfam family "5.8S ribosomal RNA", at positions 84 to 154 of the family's 154-position model. The record is from RNAcentral. Lineage: Eukaryota; Fungi; Ascomycota; Sordariomycetes; Magnaporthales; Magnaporthaceae.
GUGAGUCAUCGAAUCUUUGAACGCACAUUGCGCCCGCCGGUAUUCCGGCGGGCAUGCCUGUUCGAGCGUCAUUUCAACCCUCAAGCCCAGCUUGGUGUUGGGGCGCCCGGCCGCCUGGCGGUCCGGGGCCCUCAAGUGUAUCGGCGGUCUCGUCGGGACUCUGAGCGCAGUAACUCGCGGUAAAACGCGCCUCGCUUGGUCUGUCUCCGGCGGGCUCCGGCCGCUAAACCCCCCAUCUCUCCCAGAGUUGACCUCGGAUCAGGUAGGAUUACCCGCUGAACUUAAGCAUAUCAAUAAGCGGAGGA